This 1062-nucleotide ribosomal RNA is filed under the name Planocarina carinata. Its description in RNAcentral is "SSU rRNA". It matches the Rfam family "Eukaryotic small subunit ribosomal RNA", at positions 572 to 1617 of the family's 1831-position model. Lineage: Eukaryota; Tubulinea; Elardia; Arcellinida; Hyalospheniidae. The record is from RNAcentral.
CNCCGCGGGUAUUCCAGCUCCAAUAGCGUAUGUUCAAGUUGCUGCAUUUAAAAAGCUCGUAGUUGUAAACUGGGACAGAGCCUUCUUAACCCUAUCAAUUUGGGUUAUAAAGGAUGGAACGAGUUCUCUUAAAUGGUUUGAAUUAACGAAUAUCUCUAAUCUCAUUCUUUGGGUAUUAGAAUAUUUGUAUAAAUUGUAUCAUCAUAUUACCUUGAAGAAAUCAAAGCGCCUAAAGCAGGUAUUAGGCUAGAAUGAAUUAGCAUGGGAUAAUGUAAAAAGACUUUGAUCUUGAUUUGUUGGUUUCUACAAGCAAUGUACAUGAUUAAUAGGGAUAGUUGGGGCCACUUGUAUUGAACCGUCAGAGGUGAAAUUCUAGGACCGGUUCAAGACAAACUACUGCGAAAGCAUCUGGCAAGGAUGUUUUCAUUAAUCAAGAACGAAAGUUGCGGGCGCGAAGAUGAUCAGAUACCGUCGUAGUCGCAACUAUAAACUUUGUCGCCCAAGGGGUAGUGGUAGUUACAUGAUGACACCCCUAUAACUUUGUGAGAAAUCACAAGGAUUUGGACUCUGGGGGAAGUAUGGUCGCAAGGCUGAAACUUAAAGGAAUUGACGGAAGGGCACCACCAGGAGUGGAACCUGCGGCGACUCAACACGGGGAAACUUACCAGGUCCAGACACAAUAAGGAUUGACAGAUUGAUAGCUCUUUCUUGAUUCUGUGGAAAGUGGUGCAUGGCCGUUUUUAGUUGGUGGAUUGAUUUGUCUGGUUAAUUCCGUUAACGAACGAGACCUAAACCUACUAACUAGUUAAUGGUAACUUGGACUCUAAAUAGAGACCUCAUAUUUAUCCAAACUUCUUAGAGGGACUCUUUAUACUUAGUGAAUGGAAGUUUUAGGCAACAACAGGUCUGUGAUGCCCUUAGAUGUUCUGGGCCGCACGCGCGUUACAAUGAAAUGCUCAAUGAGCAAUAUCCCUUGCCCGUCGGGGCUUGGGAACCUGUGUAAAGUUUUUCAAGAUUGGGAUAGGUCAUUGUAAUUAUUGACCUUAAACGAGGAAUUCCUAG